AACCCGACUCCGUGAAGCUGGAUUCGCUAGUAAUCGCGCAUCAGCCAUGGCGCGGUGAAUACGUUCCCGGGCCUUGUACACACCGCCCGUCAAGCCAUGGAAGCCGGGGGCGCUUGAAGUGCGUUGCCGCAAGGCGCGCCCUAGAGCGAAACCGGUGACUGGGGCUAAGUCGUAACAAGGUAAC
RNAcentral lists this ribosomal RNA (184 nucleotides) under uncultured bacterium. RNAcentral describes it as "partial 16S ribosomal RNA". It matches the Rfam family "Bacterial small subunit ribosomal RNA", at positions 1309 to 1500 of the family's 1533-position model. The record is from RNAcentral.